ACCCUUUAACGUUUGAUGUUCUAACCCGGGUCCAUAAUCUGGAUCGGGGACCGUGUCUGGUGGGUAGUUUGACUGGGGCGGUCUCCUCCCAAAGAGUAACGGAGGAGCACGAAGGUUGGCUAAGCAUGGUCGGACAUCAUGCGGUUAGUGCAAAGGCAUAAGCCAGCUUGACUGCGAGAGUGACGGCUCGAGCAGGUACGAAAGUAGGUCUUAGUGAUCCGGUGGUUCUGAAUGGAAGGGCCAUCGCUCAACGGAUAAAAGGUACUCCGGGGAUAACAGGCUGAUACCGCCCAAGAGUUCAUAUCGACGGCGGUGUUUGGCACCUCGAUGUCGGCUCAUCACAUCCUGGGGCUGAAGUAGGUCCCAAGGGUAUGGCUGUUCGCCAUUUAAAGUGGUACGCGAGCUGGGUUUAGAACGUCGUGAGACAGUUCGGUCCCUAUCUGCCGUGGGCGCUGGAAGAUUGAGAGGGGUUGCUCCUAGUACGAGAGGACCGGAGUGAACGCACCACUGGUGUACGGGUUGUGAUGCCAAUUGCAUUGCCCGGUAGCUAAGUGCGGAAGAGAUAACCGCUGAAAGCAUCUAAGCGGGAAACUUGCCUCGAGAUGAGUCUUCCCUGACCCUUUAAGGGUCCUGAAGGAACGUUUGAG
This 647-nucleotide ribosomal RNA is filed under the name Morganella morganii. RNAcentral describes it as "partial 23S ribosomal RNA". It matches the Rfam family "Bacterial large subunit ribosomal RNA", at positions 2202 to 2843 of the family's 2925-position model. Lineage: Bacteria; Pseudomonadati; Pseudomonadota; Gammaproteobacteria; Enterobacterales; Morganellaceae. The record is from RNAcentral.